This 444-nucleotide ribosomal RNA is filed under the name uncultured bacterium. RNAcentral describes it as "bacterial SSU rRNA". It matches the Rfam family "Bacterial small subunit ribosomal RNA", at positions 106 to 586 of the family's 1533-position model. The record is from RNAcentral.
GUGAGUAACACGUGGGAACGUACCUUUUGGUUCGGAACAACUGAGGGAAACUUCAGCUAAUACCGGAUAAGCCCUAACGGGGAAAGAUUAUCGCCGAAAGAUCGGCCCGCGUCUGAUUAGCUAGUUGGUGAGGUAAUGGCUCACCAAGGCGACGAUCAGUAGCUGGUCUGAGAGGAUGAUCAGCCACACUGGGACUGAGACACGGCCCAGACUCCUACGGGAGGCAGCAGUGGGGAAUAUUGGACAAUGGGGGCAACCCUGAUCCAGCCAUGCCGCGUGAGUGAUGAAGGCCCUAGGGUUGUACAGCUCUUUUGUGCGGGAAGAUAAUGACGGUACCGCAAGAAUAAGCCCCGGCUAACUUCGUGCCAGCAGCCGCGGUAAUACGAAGGGGGCUAGCGUAGCUCGGAAUCACUGGGCGUAAAGGGUGCGUAGGCGGGUCUUUAA